Molecule: ribosomal RNA, 253 nt
Filed under: uncultured bacterium
Lineage: Bacteria
Description: partial 16S ribosomal RNA
Rfam family: Bacterial small subunit ribosomal RNA
Source: RNAcentral
UACGAAGGGGGCUAGCGUUGUUCGGAAUUACUGGGCGUAAAGCGCACGUAGGCGGACUACUAAGUCAGGGGUGAAAUCCCGGGGCUCAACCCCGGAACUGCCUUUGAUACUGGUAGUCUCGAGUCCGGAAGAGGUGAGUGGAAUUCCGAGUGUAGAGGUGAAAUUCGUAGAUAUUCGGAAGAACACCAGUGGCGAAGGCGACUUACUGGACACAUAUUGACGCUGAGGUGCGAAAGCGUGGGGAGCAAACAGG